Molecule: long non-coding RNA, 594 nt
Organism: Herpailurus yagouaroundi (jaguarundi)
Lineage: Eukaryota; Metazoa; Chordata; Mammalia; Carnivora; Felidae
Exons: 3
Source: RefSeq, a predicted model, not a curated record
CCCUAAGAUAAACCCAAGGAUAAUCCAGCAGUGAAAAGCCACGGAGUCCAAAGUUUUCAGGGCUGAACUCGCAAGAACCUGUGAACUUCCAGCAUUUCCCCAGUUAAAAGAAAACAAAUAAGGGCAGAAGAAAUAAGAAAGAGAAAAGAGAAAUGCACCUCCACGCUCAUGGCAACAAUCACGUGACCCGAUGCCCCAGGUUUCCAAGGAGCUGAUCUGCAUGUACACAGGUAGUGUUCCCAGGCACGGAGGACGCAAAUGGGCUCGCAGUUCAUUAAACAGCAAGUGGGCCCCAGGAGACAGUAGCCUCCUGUAAAGAAAAGAACCAGAGGUCCAGAAAAUUUCCUGCCCUUGCUGCCAGAGAAACUUACUAUGUCUCCAAGUAUAAGUGAGGGUUCUGAAGUCCAGAGAGGUGAUUUUUCCAGGGCUGCAGCUAGCCAGUGACAGAGCACAGACCUGGACUUCCUGACAUCCCACCUCCAUGGUCUCCUGCUCCUGCCUACAUUUGGACACCAAUAACCCUCGUCUGUCUGAAGUUAAACUUCUUGUGAUUGCUUUGGGAAACGAUAACUGAAUUAAAAAGGAGUUGGCAGU